Small nucleolar RNA from Zingiber officinale, 108 nucleotides. The record is from RefSeq and is a predicted model, not a curated record. Lineage: Eukaryota; Viridiplantae; Streptophyta; Magnoliopsida; Zingiberales; Zingiberaceae.
AGGCCAUGAUGGGGGCACUACCUCAGCAUACUCUUGAAUCUAUCUCAUGCUUCGAAUAAUGAUUCUGAGUCUGCCUGUUAGAAGCUUGCAAUUAAAUUCCUAAUGUGU